RNAcentral lists this long non-coding RNA (1100 nucleotides) under Sparus aurata (gilthead seabream). RNAcentral describes it as "lncRNA (ENSSAUG00010003777.1)". Lineage: Eukaryota; Metazoa; Chordata; Actinopteri; Spariformes; Sparidae. The record is from RNAcentral.
UCAAAUAGUUUUCACUCUUUAUUUGGAUUUGUCUGCUCCGGUGUGUGCAUGGCGGGAAAAAAAUGGGUCAAGAAAGGAAAAGAGAAAGGGAGGGGGGGUAAGAGAACAGAGUGAGGCCCUCUGGUCCCCUCAACAUCCCUGCCUUGAAUAUGAAAAUAUAUUAUAGCAUAAUGUGUUCAGUAUGCAAGCUUGAAGGAAACCAUAUGAAAAGAUCCCAGACAAAGAGCCUUCUGUGUUCCAACUGACCCCCCUCCCACCCUCAUCCUUCGUCUGCCUCGAUUGCGAGAGGGAGAGGGAGAGAGAGAGAGAGAGAGAGAGAGAGAGAGGUAAAAAGGGGGAGGUGUGUGUGCAGACUCGUAGGAACUGAAAAGGGGCAGUACACACACUCGCUGCCUCACACGGCCAGACCCACCGGAGUACAGGUGAGCUGCAAAAAAAUCCAAACAGGAAAGGAGGAGAAUCCUGGAAUUUUAUCUGCCGCUGUGAACUUGUGGCUGCUGCAGACUUUGUCACCUGCAGCACAUUAUGUUUAUCUGUACGGGGUGGUUCUGGGCAGGAAAUGGACACGAGAGGGAUUAGAUAAAGUACAGCGACCUUUCAUCCCCUGAGUGGUCCUUAUCUACACGUUAAGCUUGGUCCACCAAAAUAAAACAAUUAAGGACUGGCUGAACAACCAGAGCACUCUUUUCGACAAAGAGCAAAACAGACAAAGGGAAAAUCUGAAAGAAGGAGCUGCUGACAGUAUUCAUGAGGAGCUUUUGAUGCAUUUAAGUAUUAAUCACAACUACCACCAGAAAAAAUAAGAACUUUCCUUUUCAAUUGUGGCUUGCUGAAUAAACAAAAGAAAGACACUGAUUAUCCUGCCUCCAGACGCUGUGUCUGGCUUUAAUGUAUAAGAAAUAACACAGGACACCAGAAUAAAGAAACUUUAAUUGAAUACAUUAGAGCUCUGAAUACAAACCAGUCUCUGGAAUGACCUUUCCAUAGUGAAAUGUUAUUCCUCGCAUGCACCUAACAGCAGGAAGCUGCCAUAUACGCAGUUCCCCUGGACGUCACUGCAGAGUUAUGAUCUCCAAGAUAAAGGGCAGAUCCUUUUCUCU